Ipomoea nil (Japanese morning glory) is the source of this 1064-nucleotide long non-coding RNA. RefSeq lists it as uncharacterized. Lineage: Eukaryota; Viridiplantae; Streptophyta; Magnoliopsida; Solanales; Convolvulaceae. The record is from RefSeq and is a predicted model, not a curated record. The transcript has 3 exons.
UCAAUUUUUGUAUAUAAGUUUGUAGAAUAUUGAACACAUUGCUUCUUUGCUUCUAAUUGUCUAAAAAUCUUUUUUGUGCCAGUGUAUCCUUUCCUUUUGGUGUUGUUCUUUAAUAUUGGACACACAAUUUCUAACCUGUUUUUAUUUUUUUUCUUAUUUUGUUGAGGAUGGAAUAACCAAAGCUCUGGAUACAUUGAAGAGAAUGAAGCAGAAAAUAAGACAUCAAUCAAAGAAACUAAAAGCAGCAUGGUGAUCUAAGCAAAUAGGUUAACAUUUUACAUUUAUUUUCCUGACUUUAGAUUAGUUUUUAACAAAUUGUUCUCAAUUUUAGACCCAGUUCAUAUACAUCAACUCGGACCUUUAUUUGAUUGUUGGAUGAAUAUACCAUUAAUCCAAAACUUUUUGGAAUUCUUUGUUUCAGCUAUCAGUCUUCUAGUAACUUAAAGUAUCCAAUUUGCAUUAGUUAGUGUAUUUAAUUGUUGUAUAUAAGUCAUUAUAUAGAACAAUUAAGGAUAAGUUAACAUUAAAUUUUAUUGUAUCCUUCCCUUUAUAAAUAUCUCUAAAAAUGUUUUUUGUGCCAGUGUAUCCUUUCCUUUUGGUGUUGUUCUUUAAUACAGUAAUACAAUUUCUAACCUGUUUUUUUUUUCUUUGUCUUAUUUUGUUGAGGAUGGAAUAACCCAAGCUCUGGUGGAAUUGUAGAGAAUCAAGCAGAAAAUAAGACAUCAAUCAAAGAAACUAAAAGCAGCAUGGGGAUCUAAGCAAAUAGUUUUUGGUAGAAACCAGCAUGGACCAAAAUUGGAUUUGAGAGUUGCAAACACAGUAAAAGAAGAACUUGCAAAUAGGCACUUCAUAGACCCUUACUGCUCUCACCCGGAUUGCCCUGAGCUGGUGUUCCGACUUGAUAUUCUUGACAGCAACGAACAUGCUUGGCAUCUUGACAGACCAAUACUAUUUCGAAAAGGAAGUAAACUGAACUUAAUGUGUGAAGGAUUUUUGCCCUGAAGAACCGGGGUAUUUAUACAGGUUCAUAAUUCAAAUUUACCAUUGAUUUUGAUCAGCAGCCA